Molecule: ribosomal RNA, 502 nt
Filed under: uncultured bacterium
Lineage: Bacteria
Description: partial 16S ribosomal RNA
Rfam family: Bacterial small subunit ribosomal RNA
Source: RNAcentral
GAUAAACGCUAGCGGCAGGCUUAACACAUGCAAGUCGAGGGGCAGCACAGAAACAGCAAUGUUUUGGUGGCGACCGGCGGACGGGUGCGUAACGCGUAUGCAACCUACCUUUAACAGGGGGAUAACGGAGAGAAAUUUCCACUAAUACCCCAUAACAUCGAUCAAGGCAUCUUGAUUGGUUGAAAACUCCGGUGGUUAAAGAUGGGCAUGCGUUGUAUUAGGUAGUUGGUGAGGUAAUGGCUCACCAAGCCUACGAUACAUAGGGGGACUGAGAGGUUCGCCCCCCACACUGGUAAUGAGAAACGGACCAGACUCCUACGGCAGGCAGCAGUGAGGAAUAUUGGUCAAUGGGGGAAACCCUGAACCAGCCAUGCCGCGUGCAGGAAGACGGCUCUAUGAGUUGUAAACUGCUUUUAAACAGGGAUAAAGCACAGUAUGUAUACUGUGUUGAAGGUACUGUAAGAAUAAGGAUCGGCUAACUCCGUGCCAGCAGCCGCCGUAA